AUUGAACGCUGGCGGAAUGCUUUACACAUGCAAGUCGAACGGUAGAGGGGGCAACCCCUCGAGAGUGGCGAACGAGUGAGUAAUAUAUCGGAACGUGCCCAGUCGUGGGGGAUAACGUAGCGAAAGUUACGCUAAUACCGCAUACGAUCUAAUGAUGAAAGCGGGGGAUCGAAAGACCUCGCUCGAUUGGCGCGGCCGAUAUCAGAGUAGGUAGUUGGUGGGGGAAAGGAUCGCCAAGCCAACGAUCUGUAGCUGGUCUGAGAGGACGACCAGCCACACUGGAACUGAGACACGGUCCAGACUCCUACGGGAGGCAGCAGUGGGGAAUUUUGGACAAUGGACGCAAGUCUGAUCCAGCCAUCCCGCGUGCAGGAUGAAGGCCCUCGGGUUGUAAACUGCUUUUGUACGGAACGAAAAGGUCUCUCUUAAUACGGGGGGCUCAUGACGGUACCGUAAGAAUAAGCACCGGCUAACUACGUGCCAGCCGCCGCAGUAA
RNAcentral lists this ribosomal RNA (496 nucleotides) under uncultured bacterium. Its description in RNAcentral is "partial 16S ribosomal RNA". It matches the Rfam family "Bacterial small subunit ribosomal RNA", at positions 30 to 523 of the family's 1533-position model. The record is from RNAcentral.